RNAcentral lists this ribosomal RNA (301 nucleotides) under uncultured bacterium. RNAcentral describes it as "partial 16S ribosomal RNA". It matches the Rfam family "Bacterial small subunit ribosomal RNA", at positions 509 to 807 of the family's 1533-position model. The record is from RNAcentral.
CAGUCGCCACGGGAAUACGUAGGGUGCAAGCGUUAAUCGGAACUACUGGGCGUAAAGCGUGCGCAGGCGGUUUGUUAAGACAGAUGUGAAAUCCCCGGGCUCAACCUGGGAACUGCAUUUGUGACUGGCAAGCUAGAGUGUGGCAGAGGGGGGUGGAAUUCCGCGUGUAGCAGUGAAAUGCGUAGAUAUGCGGAGGAACACCGAUGGCGAAGGCAGCCCCCUGGGCCAACACUGACGCUCAUGCACGAAAGCGUGGGGAGCAAACAGGAUUAGAUACCCGCGUAGUCCCUGUCUCUUAUAC